This 482-nucleotide ribosomal RNA is filed under the name uncultured bacterium. RNAcentral's name for it is "partial 16S ribosomal RNA". It matches the Rfam family "Bacterial small subunit ribosomal RNA", at positions 28 to 507 of the family's 1533-position model. The record is from RNAcentral.
GAUGAACGCUAGCGGCAGGCCUAAUACAUGCAAGUCGAACGAGAUUAAGAGGCUUGCUUCUUAUGAAAGUGGCGCACGGGUGCGUAACGCGUAUGCAACCUACCUUAAUCAGGGGGAUAGCCCGAAGAAAUUCGGAUUAAGACCGCAUAAAAACACAGGAUAGCAUUAUCCAAUGUUCAAAUAUUUAUAGGAUUAAGAUGGGCAUGCGUGUCAUUAGCUAGUUGGCGGGGUAACGGCCCACCAAGGCGACGAUGACUAGGGGAUCUGAGAGGAUGACCCCCCAAACUGGUACUGAGACACGGACCAGAAUCCUACGGGAGGCAGCAGUAAGGAAUAUUGGUCAAUGGAGGGAACUCUGAACCAGCCAUGCCGCGUGCAGGAAGACAGCCCUCUGGGUCGUAAACUGCUUUUAUUCGGGAAUAAACCUUUCUACGUGUAGGAAGCUGAAUGUACCGAAGGAAUAAGGAUCGGCUAACUCCGUG